GACGAACGCUGGCGGCGUGCUUAACACAUGCAAGUCGAACGGAAAGGCCCUGCUUUUGUGGGGUGCUCGAGUGGCGAACGGGUGAGUAACACGUGAGUAACCUGCCCUUGACUUUGGGAUAACUUCAGGAAACUGGGGCUAAUACCGGAUAGGAGCUCCUGCUGCAUGGUGGGGGUUGGAAAGUUUCGGCGGUUGGGGAUGGACUCGCGGCUUAUCAGCUUGUUGGUGGGGUAGUGGCUUACCAAGGCUUUGACGGGUAGCCGGCCUGAGAUGGUGACCGGCCACAUUGGGACUGAGAUACGGCCCAGACUCCUACGGGAGGCAGCAGUGGGGAAUAUUGCACAAUGGGCGGAAGCCUGAUGCAGCAACGCCGCGUGCGGGAUGACGGCCUUCGGGUUGUAAACCGCUUUCGCCUGUGACGAAGCGUGAGUGACGGUAAUGGGGAAAGAAGCACCGGCUAACUACGU
Molecule: ribosomal RNA, 467 nt
Filed under: uncultured bacterium
Lineage: Bacteria
Description: partial 16S ribosomal RNA
Rfam family: Bacterial small subunit ribosomal RNA
Source: RNAcentral